GUAGCAUAAUCAAUUGUUUUUUAAUUGAAAACUGGAAUGAAAGGUUAAACAGGUUAAGAUGAUUUGCGUAGUUUAGCUAGUAAAUUAAAGUCAAGGUAAGAAUUCCUUGAUUUUUCUAGGGGACGAUAAGACCCUAGAAGCUUUAAAAAAGAAAAAUUUUUAAUUACUGCGUAAGUUUUUUUACUGGGGCGGUAUUAGUGUUUUAACUACUAAUAAUAAAGGCUGGUCCUUAAUAUAAAGAUAAUUCGGCGGAGUUACUCUAGGGGUAACAGUGUAGUAUUUUUGGAAAGGCCUUAUUAAUAAAAAUGUUCGCAACCUCGAUGUUGAAUUAAGAUGUCUACUUGGGGCAGCAGAUAUAGUAGAGGGUUUGUUCAACCUUUAGAGUCUU
Molecule: ribosomal RNA, 388 nt
Filed under: Gammarus fossarum
Lineage: Eukaryota; Metazoa; Arthropoda; Malacostraca; Amphipoda; Gammaridae
Description: partial 16S ribosomal RNA
Rfam family: Archaeal large subunit ribosomal RNA
Source: RNAcentral